RNAcentral lists this ribosomal RNA (401 nucleotides) under uncultured bacterium. RNAcentral describes it as "bacterial SSU rRNA". It matches the Rfam family "Bacterial small subunit ribosomal RNA", at positions 355 to 773 of the family's 1533-position model. The record is from RNAcentral.
UGGGGAAUCUUGCGCAAUGGGGGAAACCCUGACGCAGCCAUGCCGCGUGAAUGAUGAAGGUCUUAGGAUUGUAAAAUUCUUUCAGCGGGGACGAUAAUGACGGUACCCGCAGAAGAAGCUCCGGCUAACUUCGUGCCAGCAGCCGCGGUAAUACGAAGGGGGCUAGCGUUGCUCGGAAUUACUGGGCGUAAAGGGCGCGUAGGCGGACAGUUAAGUCAGAGGUGAAAGCCCAGGGCUCAACCCUGGAAUUGCCUUUGAUACUGGCUGUCUUGAGUAUGGGAGAGGUGAGUGGAACUCCGAGUGUAGAGGUGAAAUUCGUAGAUAUUCGGAAGAACACCAGUGGCGAAGGCGACUCACUGGCCCAUUACUGACGCUGAGGCGCGAAAGCGUGGGGAGCAAAC